This 305-nucleotide ribosomal RNA is filed under the name uncultured bacterium. RNAcentral's name for it is "partial 16S ribosomal RNA". It matches the Rfam family "Bacterial small subunit ribosomal RNA", at positions 506 to 807 of the family's 1533-position model. The record is from RNAcentral.
ACAGCAGCAGCCACGGGAAUACGAAGGGUGCAAGCGUUACUCGGAAUUACUGGGCGUAAAGCGUGCGUAGGUGGUGGUUUAAGUCCGUUGUGAAAGCCCUGGGCUCAACCUGGGAAUUGCAGUGGAUACUGGGUCACUAGAGUGUGGUAGAGGAUAGUGGAAUUUCCGGUGUAGCAGUGAAAUGCGUAGAGAUCGGAAGGAACAUCUGUGGCGAAGGCGACUAUCUGGGCCAACACUGACACUGAGGCACGAAAGCGUGGGGAGCAAACAGGAUUAGAGACCCCUGUAGUCCCUGUCUCUUAUAC